RNAcentral lists this ribosomal RNA (213 nucleotides) under uncultured bacterium. Its description in RNAcentral is "partial 16S ribosomal RNA". It matches the Rfam family "Bacterial small subunit ribosomal RNA", at positions 144 to 353 of the family's 1533-position model. The record is from RNAcentral.
AGACAGUUGGAAACGACUGCUAAUACCGCAUAAGCCCACGGGUCGGCAUCGACCAGAGGGAAAAGGAGCAAUCCGCUUUGAGAUGGCUCGCGUCCGAUUAGCUAGUUGGUGAGGUAAUGGCCCACCAAGGCGAACGAUCGGUAGCCGGACUGAGAGGUUGAACGGCCACAUUGGGACUGAGACACGGCCCAGACUCCUACGGGAGGCAGCAUG